RNAcentral lists this ribosomal RNA (253 nucleotides) under uncultured bacterium. RNAcentral's name for it is "partial 16S ribosomal RNA". It matches the Rfam family "Bacterial small subunit ribosomal RNA", at positions 524 to 776 of the family's 1533-position model. The record is from RNAcentral.
UACGAAGGGGGCUAGCGUUGUUCGGAAUUACUGGGCGUAAAGCGCGCGCAGGCGGUCUUCCAAGUCAGUGGUGAAAGCCUGGAGCUCAACUCCAGAACUGCCAUUGAAACUGUUAGACUUGAGUACGAGAGAGGUGAGUGGAAUUCCCAGUGUAGAGGUGAAAUUCGUAGAUAUUGGGAAGAACACCGGUGGCGAAGGCAGCUCACUGGCUCGUAACUGACGCUCAGGCGCGACAGCGUGGGGAUCAAACAGG